Acanthochromis polyacanthus (spiny chromis) is the source of this 300-nucleotide long non-coding RNA. RefSeq lists it as uncharacterized. Lineage: Eukaryota; Metazoa; Chordata; Actinopteri; Pomacentridae. The record is from RefSeq and is a predicted model, not a curated record. The transcript has 3 exons.
AGGUCUACAGGUCUACAGAUCUACAGGUCUACAGAUCUACAGGUCUACAGAUCUACAGAUCUACAGAUCUACAGAUCUACAAGUCUACAAGUCUACAGGUCUACAGGUCUACAAGUUUACAGGUCGACAAGUGUACAGUUCUACAAGUCUACAGGUCCACAGGUCUACAGAUCUACAUGUCUACAGGUCUACAGGUCUACAUGUCUACAUGUCUACAUGUCUACAUGUCUACAUGUCUACAUGUCUACAUGUCUACAGAUCUACAGCUCUACAGCUCUACAAGUCUACAAGUCUACAAGU